UCCCAGGUAUCUCAGUGGUAAAUAAUCUGCCUGCCAAGCAGGAGACGCAGGUUCAAUCCCUGGGUUGGGAA
RNAcentral lists this transfer RNA (71 nucleotides) under Bos taurus (domestic cattle). It matches the Rfam family "tRNA". Rfam says of the family: Transfer RNA (tRNA) molecules are approximately 80 nucleotides in length. Their secondary structure includes four short double-helical elements and three loops (D, anti-codon, and T loops). Further hydrogen bonds mediate the characteristic L-shaped molecular structure. tRNAs have two regions of fundamental functional importance: the anti-codon, which is responsible for specific mRNA codon recognition, and the 3' end, to which the tRNAs corresponding amino acid is attached (by aminoacyl-tRNA synthetases). tRNAs cope with the degeneracy of the genetic code in two manners: having more than one tRNA (with a specific anti-codon) for a particular amino acid; and 'wobble' base-pairing, i.e. permitting non-standard base-pairing at the 3rd anti-codon position. Lineage: Eukaryota; Metazoa; Chordata; Mammalia; Artiodactyla; Bovidae. The record is from Rfam by way of RNAcentral. RNAcentral also lists the same sequence under 4 other names.